Molecule: transfer RNA, 88 nt
Filed under: Biddulphia biddulphiana
Lineage: Eukaryota; Bacillariophyta; Biddulphiophyceae; Biddulphiales; Biddulphiaceae
Description: tRNA-Met
Rfam family: tRNA
About the family: Transfer RNA (tRNA) molecules are approximately 80 nucleotides in length. Their secondary structure includes four short double-helical elements and three loops (D, anti-codon, and T loops).
Source: RNAcentral
UGCAUCCGUGGCCGAGUGGUUGAAGGCACCGGACUCAUAAUCCGUUUUCCUAUUGGAACAUCACUGGUUCGAACCCAGUCGGAUGCAC